Molecule: long non-coding RNA, 13397 nt
Filed under: Homo sapiens (human)
Lineage: Eukaryota; Metazoa; Chordata; Mammalia; Primates; Hominidae
Description: HSALNT0392855
Source: RNAcentral
CUUUUUCCAUGUGUAGGAACUUGCAAGGAUGGCAGGAGGCUACAGAGAGCAGACUUGAAACCCUGUGAAAAGAAGAAAUAAGCAAAGCAAGAGGAUAAGCCCUGGGAGAACAGCGUGCUUCCCAGUGUCUGCCUCGUCCUGCACAGUAAGAGCCAGGUCAACUUCAGGAAAUAAGCAAGGCCUCUAAAAGGAAGCACGACCAGAAAAUACAGCACAACUAGGAGCAUAUGGAAGGGAUCCAAGAAGUGGAGACCAUCAUUCGGUAAUAGAAUCUGCUUUGGAGAUGAGAGAGCCUAGAAGGAUGCCCAAUGCCCAGGAAAUGAAUACCCGCCUCAGGGCCACAGCCAUAAUGGGACAAAGUGCUCAGUACAGCACCUGAUUCAGAUGAACACCCACAGAGUCACCACCGUCACUGUUACUCACCCGAGUUUUGUCCAUUGGACCACUGUACACAGAGAAAAAGAAAGUUGGUAAUUGUGUGGUUUACGGAGUUUAAACAACCUCUUCCACCAGAGCCACUGAGCCUAAAUCUACUUUAACAAGGAGCAAAGGAUAUUUUGAUCCACAGCAAGAGAAAAGGUUUUCAAAGCAAAUACCCUUGAGAUAGAAAACAAAGAUUCCACUCCAGUUCAUUUACUUGCAACAACAGCGGUUGGAGGAGGGUAAAACCAGGCUGAGAAGAAGAAAGAGCACAGGAGGCCCCAGGGCAAGAGGAGGAGGUGAAUCCCAGCAGGGGAUGGAAAGAUGGGAAGAAAAGGCCAAACCAUUCGCUGGCUUUCUGACUUUAUUUCCAAAUGCCCUGCCGGAGAUGUGCUCAUUAAUGGUUUGUUUGAACAGGCCACGUCUACCCAAUGGACCCAGACUAAAAGGAACAGGACAGAACUGAGGGAACCUCAGUUAAGGUCAAGUGCCUGCUUAGUCUCAUGGACUGUACAGAGAGUAGGAGAAACAGCUUGCCUUGGAGACAGCCUAGGAGCAGAAAUAAUAAGGAACUAAUCAUCCAUGCUUCGUCGGCAGUAGUAGAAAGCAAACAAUUCAUCAGUGGCCCCAACUAUCUCUUGCCCAGACCAGUUUAUGCCUUACAGAACCCCCUCAUACCCCCAUCAAUUCAGGCUAGCAUUACUUUGUUUUUGUUUUUUGAGACAGAGUCUCACUCUGUCACCCAGACUGGAGUGCAGUUGGUGCGAUUCGGCUCACUGUAACCUCUGCCACCCGGGUUCAAGCGAUUCUUGUGCCUCAGCCUCUCGAGUAGCUGGGAUUACAGGCAUGCACCGCCACACCUGGUUAAUUUUUGUAUUUGUAGUAGAGACGGGGUUUCACCAUGUUAGCCAGGGUGGUCUCGAACCCCUGGCCUCAAGUGAUCCGCCUGCCUCAGCCUCCAAAAGUGCUGGGAUUACAGGCGUGAGCCACCGCACCCAGGCAGGCUAGCAUUGAUUUUUGUUCCAAUAGCUACUUAGGCUCACUGUUAAUGUGGCUUUUGUUGCUUUUUACUGGCUGUUUGCUUCUCAUAAGUACCAUAGAGGACUUUCUAUGUGCUUGUAUAAUAAAUCUUAUAAAUCCAGUCUAAAAAAAUUAUGUUUUUUAUAGUUUGCCUUGGUAAUUCCUAGGCCUGGGAGGGGGACCAGAUAUAUCAGGUGCCCCAUGAGAAACCUCUCCUGGGGCAGUACCAGGUACUAGGGAACAUGAUAAACAGAUGCAGACUCAAAGGGUAGCUUCCCUUGUCUGUACAGUAGCUUAAUGAUGAAGGUGGCUGAGUGGCAGUUCUACCUGGUUCCAGGAACCUCCUCAGCUAGACUUGUUUUUGUUUCUGUUUUGAGACAGAGUCUCAUUCUGUCGUCCAGACUGUAGUGCAGUGGUGUGAUCUCAGCCCACUGCAACUACCAUCUCCUGGGUUCAAACGAUUCUCCUGCCUCAGCCUCCUGAGUAGCUGGGAUUACAGGUGCCCACCAGCAAACCUGGCUAAUUUUUGUAUUUUUAGUAGAGACGGGGUUUCGCCAUGUUGGUCAGGCUGGUCUCGAACUCCUGAUCUCAAGUAAUCCACUUACCUUGACUUCCCAAAGUGCUGGAUUACAGGCAUGAGCCACUGCGCCCGGCCUCAGCUAGAUCUUUAAGGCAACGGUUCCCCACCUUUUCAAGUAUGAGAUGCCAUUGUAACAUUAGAAAACUUCAUAGGUCUCAUUAACAGUGCCUGUAUCAUUCAUUUUAAAAAUCCUUAUUGUCAAGUGACAUUUUUUUUUCUUUUGAGUCAGAGUCUCACUCUGUUGCCCAGGCCGGAGUGUACUGAUGUGAUCGACAAGUGACAUUUUAAAAUGAAUGUUGUGUUUUACAGAUGGCAACAGCGCCCUCACAUGCUAUGUACAAUUCAGCCUACGGACGUACUUGGUGGCAUUUCAGCGUGAUGAGCCUUACAGGGGUUUUCAGACACAGACUUUACUAAGAACAACAUGUGGAUGGUUUUAAAAGAACUAUUGGAAUGAGCAGACUACAAUUUUCCAACAGUUACUUUCAACACAAAUGCAUGUGGAAAGCUGAAAUCAUAUGCAUCUGUGGUUAGAUUCUGGCCUUAACCCUGUGCUGACCUUGAGCUUCCCCGUAAUUGUUGGGCUCUUUCUUUGCCUCCAGGCUGAACCAUCUGCUGCUUUCUCCCACUACCAGGAACGAAGGGACCUAAGCUCCAAUGUGCUCAUCCUGGAACACCCAGGCACUUUGCAUUUCUCAAAGUUCAGUUCCCCAAGCGCAAGUUUUCUGCUCUGCUGGACAGAACGGCAGCAUUUCAAUCAUUCUCAGGCUUGCUCUGCUCCUGUUCCUACUUGUCCAGGUCCAUAAACCCAGGACUCACAGGAAGGGCCCUUCCCCUGGGAGCCGCGUUCAGAGGACAGUGCCUAUGGCAGGAGGGAGUGGUCUAUGAGCCCCUGGGGCUGGAAGAUUCCCCUCCAUUCUUCAGUGGCAUUUCCCUUGGCACUUGUUUCCUGCUCUCACUACAGACACCUGAACCCUGAAGCUUAACCCCACCUUGAAGCUAGGGCAUGGUUACCUAACGUAGGCCUCCCUCCUGUGAAGGCAGGUCUGAGAGGCCAUCUGCAGAGAGGCAGGGUUAUUCCUGAGGGGUGGGGAGACCAUUGCAGAGACUCCAGCUGCUGCCUGACAGUUUCUGAGAUGCCUGCCAAGGAAAAAGGAGAAUUCUGGUUAGAAGGGAGCUAAAAACUCUGGGGAAGUAUUUCAAUAUCUAAUUGAGAGAGAGGCUGAGAUGGCAGCUAGGACCACUGUGGAGACAAUCUCAGACAAUCUCAAGGAGCUUCAACCAAAGCAACCAAUGACAGGGGGAGUUCAGAUUUCUCUCUUAAAUUCUGCAAGGGAGGCCAGUGUGGUGUCUCACACCUGUAAUCCCAACACUUUGAGAGGCCAAGGCAGGAGGAUCACUUGAGGCCAGGAGUUUAAGACCAGCCUGGGCAAUGUAGCAAGUCCCUGUCUCUACAAAAAAAAAAAAUUUAGCCAGCGUGGUGGCAAACACCUGUAGUCCCAGCUAUUUGGGAGGCUGAGGCAGGAGGAUCACUUGAGCCCAAGAGUUCUAGGCUGCAGUGAGCUAUGUUCACACCACUGCACUUCAGCCGGGGUGACAGAGCAAGAUCUUCUCUCUAAAAAAUAAAAUAAAAAAUAAAAACAAAGCUGCAAGGGGAAGGGGAAGAAGCAGAUACUGAGACUUCUCCCAACAAGAGGAUAAGCCCCAAAGAAAGACAUUUUCUUGAAGGCAAAGUUCAGCUCCUUCAUCACGCAUCUUUAGUGCUGUGAGCUUUUGUGCUGUUGGCCCUUAGGACCAAGGAGGCAACAUGAGUCCAGAUCCAGUAGAGCUACUAGUGAUGGGCCUGAAGGGAGGGGAGUCUAGACCUGUCCUCCUUAUUAUUAUAAAAUUUUAGCCUAAUCAGCUUCUGGGAAGCAGUCUAAUUAAAAGUGGAAAGAAGCUGAAAGUGGCAGCUAGUCAGCUCCGUGUACAAAUCCCAACUCCAUGUCUUCUUAGUUGUUGGACCAGCCCAGGCAAGCCCCUGAAUCUCCUUAUGUCUCAAUUUCCUCAUCUGUAAAAAUACUAGUCACAGCAGACCUCCUUUAUAGGGUCGUUGUGGCCCAAGGGCUUGCAAUAAAUUUGGUAUCUAAUUUUGGAGUGAUUUGGGGCUGCAGUUUAACAAGAUUGAUUCCAAAUGUAGCACAAAGUCGGCUCUCAAUCAACAUUAAUGGAAUGAAUUACUCUCAAUAAUAAAUACUUCAAGAGAGGUAGCUGGAAAAAAAUGUUCAUGACUGAUAAAUUGUGUGCAGGGUGAGUUUUACAAGGGAAUGCUGAUACUUUAUGAGUUGAGAUGGCACUGAGUCUUAAAUAGAGAAAACAUUUCGGAAGAGAAAUAAAUACAAUUGGCUUUCCAGAACUGCAUUCCACAUCUGUAGAUUCAACCAACGGUGCAUCAAAAAUAUUCUAAAAAAAUAGAUGGUUGUGAUAUAUAGACUUUUUUCCUUAUCGUUUUCCCCUAAACAAUACAACAACUUUUUUUUUUUUUUUUUUUUUUUUUUGAGACGGAGUCUCGCUCUGUCACCCAGGCUGGAGUGCAGUAGCAUGAUCUCGGCUCACUGCAAGCUCCACCUCCCGGGUACACGCCAUUCUCCUGCCUCAGCCACCUGAGUAGCUGGGACUACAGGCGCCCGCCACCAUGCCCGGCUAAUUUUUUGUAUUUUUUUUUUAGUAGAGACGGGGUUUCACCGUGUUAGCCAGGAUGGUCUCGAUCUCCUGACCUCGUGAUCCACCCGCCUCAGCCUCCCAAAGUGGUGGGAUUACAGGCAUGAGCCACCGUGCCCGGCCUACAACUAUUUACAUAGCAUUUACAUUGUAUUUGGUAUUGUAAGUAAUCUAGAGAUGAUUUUGAUUUAAGUACACUAAAGAAUUGUAUAGGUUACAGGCAAAUACUGUGCUAUUUUACAUAGGGAUUUUGUUAUCCUCAGGCACCCUGGAACCAAUCCCCCACAGAUACCAGGGGACAACUGUAUAUGGUUCUGCAGAAGUGGCCUUGACAUCAAGAUACCUAAAUUCUAAUCCUGAUUCUGCUAUUAAUUUGUUUUGUGGCAUCAAACAAGCUGACUUCAGACUCACUGUUUUUUCAUUUGAAAAGCGAAGUUAGGCCAGAUUAUAUCCAAGGUUCAUUUCUAUUCAGACAGUGGAUAAUUCUGUAACAGUCUCUGGAACUUCUGCAAGAGAUGCUACUUGUAAAGCAAGGCAAAAGUGGUUUUAAGGGGGAAAAAAAAGAUCUACGUCUAUUACAAUACAUGCCUCAUUUUUACCAGGAUAAAAACCACUACAAACAUCAUCCUCAUCAUUACUAUUUACCUACUGUUGACUGUGUGCUAGACUCCACACUAGAGCAUGUUAGACAUAUGAUCUCAUUCAGUCCUCUCAACAAUUCUCAGCAUUUCACAAGAUUCAUUCUGAAAAGAAAAGAUUUGGCCAUGUGCGGUAGCUCACACCUGUAAUCCCAGCACUUUGGGAGACCAAAAUGGGAGGAUUGCUUGAGCCCAGGAGUUCAAGACCAGCCUGAGCAACAUGGAGAAACCUCGUCUCUACUGAAAAUACAUAAAUUAGCCAGGCAUGGCAGUGCAUGCUGUGGUCCCAGCUACUCGGGAAGCUGAGAUGGGAGGAUCACUUGAGCCAGGGAGGUAAAGGCUGCAGUGAGCCAUGAUCACGCCACUGCACUCCAGCCUGGGCGACAGUGCAAGACUCUGUCUCGAGAAAGAAAAAAAAGGAAGAAAUUUACAUUCCCUCUAAAAAAGGAAUUGGAUCAUUAUGGACUGCGUGACUUAAAGCUACCAUUUAUUAGUAGUCUUCUACGUGCCAGAGACAUACCAGAGAUGCUUUUAAAGUUCUACAAGCAACAUUUUCAUGUUCAAUGUGGAGGUCAGUAAGAGACCAAAAAUCCCAAAUCCCAGAUUGUACCUCCUACUCUCUGUGAUGGAUUAGAAAGAAAACAGGAUCCUCUUCAUCCUUCAAGACCCAGUCAGUUUUGUCGCCUCUGAGAAGUCUUCUCCUGUGUCUGCUUCCACCCCACCCUGCUUCAGGAAGACUCACGUUGCCUAGAAUUCAACAACCACCCUGGAACUGUGCCUUCUGUUUUUUAUGUUUCAGAUACAUACCCAUACCCCAAUAAUUCUACCAAAUUUAAGCUAUCUUUAUGAAACUAAAUAUGAAGAUUCAAAUUAGAUUUAAAACUCAUUUAGCUAAUCUGUUCCAAAAGCAACUUCUGUCUGUUAAUUGGUCGUUUGGUAAGCAGCUUUAGACUCAUUUUAGUACCUUAACUUAAAAUACCACUCUCGGCACACAAAUACUUGUUUAUUGAUGUCGAAAUUAAGAAAUUGUAUUUCUUUUUUUUAAGACAGAGUCUUGCUCUGUCACCCAGGCUGGAGUGCAGGCACAAUCUAUGCUCACUGCAACCUCAGCCUCCUGGGUUCAAGUGAUUCUCCUGCCUCAGCCUCCCAAGUAGCUGGGAUUACAGGCAUGUGCCACCAUGCCCCGUUAAUUUUUGUAUUUUUAGUAGAGAUGGGGUUUUGCCAUGUUGGCCAGGCUGGUCACGAACUCCUGACCUCAGGUGAUCCACCCACCUCAGUCUCCCAAAGUGCUGGGAUUACAGGGGUGAGCCACCACACCCAGCCAGAAAUUGUAUUUUCUUAUCAUCUGGUUUAAUAUUUUGCUUUUUUAACUGUUACUUCACCAAAAUAAUAAAAAAGCAGUUUUGAACCACAUAGGAAAAUGAAUCUUUUCCUAAUUUUGGCCAGGGUAGACCUGCUGGUAGUACUCAGAAAUCGGUUACUAUUAAAACAGUUUAAUUUUUUCAGUUCUUCAUUAUUCAAAGACUCCAAUUAGCACCUCUUUCAAAUAUGUGAGCAGAGAGCUUCAUAAAAAUUUAAUUAGGCCGGGUACAUUGGCUUAUACUUGUAAUCCCAGCACUUUGGGAGGCCAAGGCAGGAGAACAGCUUGAGCUCAGGAGUUUGAGGCCAACCUGGGCAACACAGAGAGACCUGUCUCUAAAAAAAGAAAAGAAAAAAGACUUAAUAAAAAAGAAUUAAUCCACUGCACACCUAUUAGAAAGGCUAAAAUCCAAAACGCUGACAACACCAAAUGCUGGUGAGGAUGUGGAGCAACAGGAAUUCUCAUCCAUGGCUGGUGGGGAAUACAAAAUGGUACCGCCACUUUAGAAGAGAGUUUGGCAGUUUCUUACAAAUCUAAACAUACUCAGCUGGGUGCAGUGGCUCAUGCCUUUAAUCCCAGCACUUUGGGAGGCCGAGACGGGUGGAUCACCUGAAGUCAGGAGUUCAAGACCAGCCUGGGCAACAUGGUGAAACCCAUUUAAAAUUUUUUAUUCUACUAAAAAUACAAAAAUCAGCUGGCAUGGUGGCACGUGCCUGUAGUCCCAGCUACUUCGGAGGCUGAGGCAGGAGAAUCACUUGAACUCGGGAGGCGGAGGUUGCAGUGAGACGAGAUCAUGCCACUGCACUCCAGCCUGGGCAACAGAGUGAGACUCCAUAUCAAAAACAAACAAAGAAAAAAAAAAACUUAAACAUACCCUCACCAUAAAAUCCAGCAAUUGCACUCCUUGGUGUUUACCCAAAGGAGUUGACAACAUAACCACACAAAAACCUGCAUGCAGACAUUUAUAGCAGCUUUACUCAUAAUUGCCAAAACCUGGAUGCAAACAGCAUGUCCUUAGGUGAAUGGAUAAACUGUGUUACAUCUAGACAAUGGAAUAUUAUUUAUUGCUAAAAAGAAAUGAGCUAUCAAGCCAUGAAAAGAUAUGGAGGAACUUUAAAUGCAUAUUAGUAUGUGAAGGAAGACAAUCUGAACAUCUACAUACGCUAUGGUUCCAACUAUAUGAUAUUCUGGAAAAGGCAAAACUGUGGAGACAGAAAAAGAAUCAGAGGUUGCCAGGGGUUAGCAGGGAGGGAAGGAUGAACAGGUGGGGCACAGAGGAUGUUUAGGACAGUGAAAAUAUUCCCUAUGAGACUGUAAUGGUGGAUACGUGUCAUUAUAUAAUUGUCCAAACCCAUAGAAUGUUUAACACCAAGAGUGAAGCGUAGUGUAAAGUAUCAACUUUGAGUAAUGAUAUCUCGAUAUAGUUUCAUCAAUUGUAGCAAAUGUACCAUUCUAGUAGGGUAUGUUGACAAGUGGGGAGGCUGUGGGUGUGUGGGGUAGCAGUGUAUGGGAAAUCUCUGUACCAUCCUCUCAAUUUUGCUGCGAACCUAAAACUUCUCUAUAAAAUAAAGUCUAUUAAAAAUAAAUGUAUUUUUUUUAAAUUAACCACCCUUUAAUAAAAGACUUUGUAGGAAAUUAAGCUUAAGAGAAUAACUGUUACUACAUUUUGGUUACUGCUCUCUUCCCAGUCUCUCUGUGUAUUCUAUAGGUCCAAGAAACUAACUUGGGAAAGGAGAGGGAAAGUUCUUAUUUUCAUAUGCUGGUAAGACAUUCUAGUACUACCAUGUCAAAAUAUAAGCUUUAAAAUUGUAGACCAGUGGUGGUGGGGGCUCUGCAAGCCAGCUAUUGAAAAACAAGUGGAUUCAUGUCUGCACUUUAAAUAAGAGGUGAUAAGUAGAAAACACAAGUAGGUUCAGAAUGGACUAACAGGGCUUUUCAAAUUUGAAUGUUGUAUUAGUCCAUUCUCACGCUGCUGUAAUGACAUACCUAAGACUGGGUAAUUUAUAAAGAAAAGAGGUUUAAUUGGCUGAAAGUUCUGCAGGCUGUACAGGAAGCAUGGCAGCAUCUGCUCAGCAUCAGGCGAGACCUCAGGAAACCUACAAUUAUGGCAGAAGGUGAAAGGGAAGCAGGCAUGUUUUACGUGGCUGGAACAGGAGGAAGAGAGAGAGUGGGGAGGUGCCACACGCUUUUAAACAACCAGAUCUUGUGAGAACUCACUCAUUAUUAUGAGAACAGAAACAGCACUAAACAGAGAUAUCCACCCCUAAGAUCCAAUCACUUCCCACCAGGCCCCACCUCCAAGAUUGGGGAUUACAUUUUGACAUGAGAUUUGGGUGGGACACAGAUCCAAACUAUAGCAAAUGUGUAUACAAAUCACCUGGGAUCUUAUUAAAAAUGAAGAUUCUGAUUCAGUAUAUUUGGAACAAGUCCAGUAAUUCUGCAUGUCUAGCAAGCUCCCAUGUCCCAGGUGACAUCCAUGCUGCUGGUCCAGGAACCACACUUUGGUGGCAAGAAUGUGAGUCAUUGUGUGUGUUGCUAUCAUUAGUCUUCCUGGUAUUGGACUUGAGACCUUCUUAGUCAUCUUUGUAUCUCCAACACUUAUAAGGUGACCAACGUCAAGUUGAGUUAACACAUAGUUACAGAAUAAAUACAUCUUUACAGAAUAAAUACAUCUUAGCCUUUCUUUCUCUAAAAAACGGUGAGAGCAACUCUCUCAGGUAUGGAUGGGAUAAUAUCCAAAAGUAUCCACGCUUCUUCAGGGUUGAAAGAAGACCUUCGAAAGAAAAUCUAAAGAACAAAAGUGCUCACCAUUCAGCCCAUAUCCACUUCCUUUUCAUAGAAAUGAUAGAAGCAAAAAUAAGAAAAUAGCUUGGUGAGACUAGAUGGUUAGAUGAAAGGGUUCCAGGGAGUAAAGAUGGUAAGGACUCGAGCUAGCACACUAGAAAAAGUCUCCUUUUCCUAGGUGCCAGUUUCCAGACUAUGCUUUGCAAAGAGCACUACGAUGAACAUCCUUAAACACUGAAUUAAUGUGUGUCAGCAAAAUAAUUUCCCUAAAAUUGUUUUAUUAUAAGGAAAUUAAUAGGGAGUGUGCAUGUCCUUUCAACAACAUGCUGGAGCAUUGUCUAAAAAGCCCACUGAAGAUUAUUUAAUUCUCUAACAGAGCGUCCCUGUGUUUGCCUUUAGUAUUUACUAUUUGAAUAUAACUCAGACACUAUGGAGUUCUCUGUGGACUUACAUAUUUCCAUCCAGUAGAAGAUCUUAUUACAAAGGUUAUGGUCCCAUUGUCCUGCACCAUAUGAUGCAAUUGUGUAUAUAACCUAGCAAUGUUAUUUAAACAUCCUUUUUUAAAAAAUUUUUCUUUAUUUCUUUAAAGAAAUAAUUUUAUAAAUAGAGACAGGGUCUCGCCAUGUUGCCCAAGCUAGUCUCGAACUCCUGAGCUCAAGUGAUCCACCUUCUUUGGCCUCCCAAAGUGCGGGCAUUACAGGCGUGAGCCACCACACCUGGCCUAUUUGAACAUUCUUUUAAAAAUAUUACUAUAACCCAGCAUUUUGGGAGGCCGAAGCAGGUGGAUCACUUGAGCUCAGGAGUUCAAGACCAACCUGGGCAACAUGAUGAAACCCCGUCUCAGUUAAAAAAAAAAAAAUUCCUAUAAAUGCCCAGUUCCUCAAAAUGCUUUCCCAACCAGUUUUACCACCUUACUGAAUCUCUCAUUAAUGAACAAAUAUUUGACAUGUGCUAAUUGUAUAUUUGUAUGAGAGUCAUGUUUUUAACUUUUUGAAAAUUAUGCUUUGACAGAAUAAAUUACCAGAAAUAGAGCUUGGCUCGGUACAUCACAUGUCCUCAGACCAAGAACAACUAUGCUGGAGAAGCUGUAUUUCCUUCACCAUCACUGAGGAGCCUCAUCUGCACCUGGAAUGAAUUAAGAUAUCAAUGUCCUAUUUUGACUGCAUGCUGUUUAGAAAUGAGAUUUUGAGAAGUCUUAGGAUAGGGUGAGUGUAUUUUUGUAUGUGGAAGGGAAUAUAAAUAAUUUUGGGUCAGUGGGCAAACAGAGGGGUUUUCAAUAAUUCUUUGACACCCCUCCCUUCUGUGGAGCUAAUUCCCCUCCGCUUGAGUGAGUCACCCGGUGACUCAUUACUAAGGAAUAGAAUGUGGCAUAAAUGAUAGAGCAUGACUUCUUUCUUUCUUUCUUUCUUUCUUUCUUUCUUUCUUUCUUUUUUUGAGACAGGGUCUCACUCUGUGGCCCAGACUGGAGUGCCAUGGUGCAAGCACAGCUCACUCGGCUUCAACCUCCUGGGCUCAAGCGAUCCUCUCACCUCAGCCUCCCAAGCAGCUGGGAUUACAGGCACACACCACCAUAUCCAGACAAUUUUUGUAUUUUCUGUAGAAACAGGAGUUUCACAGUGUUGACCAGGAUGGUCUUGACUCCUGGACUCAAGUGAUCCUGCCACUCCAGCCUCCCAAAGUCCUGGGAUUACAGAUAUGAGCCACCAGGCCCAGCCUGACAGAACAUGACUUCUGAGGGUAGGUCAUAAAAGACAUUGUGACUUCCAGUUUGCUCUUUGAUCACUUGUCUAAAGGAAGUCAGCUGCCAUGUCUCAAUGACACUCAAGUGGCCCUAUGGAGGGGCCCAAAACAGCAUCCUCCCACCAAUAGCCAUCGAGGAACUGAGGAACUGAGGCCCUUUGCUAAUAGCCAUGAGUGCACCAUCAUGAAGUAGAUCUCCUGCCCCUGUCAAGCCUUCAGAUGACUGCAGCCCCAGCUGACUGCUCAACUGCAACCUCAUGAGAAACCCUCAGCUAGGACAACCCAGCUAAGCUAUUCUCAAAUUCCACAGAAACUGUGAAAUAAUACAUGCUUAUGUUUUAAGCAAUUAAGCUUUGGUUAAUUUGUUACACAGUAAUAGAUAACUAAUACAGCUGGCUUAUCAGGCAUGUGUAGUUUAAGACUUUUCAUACAGAUUGCAAAAUUGCCUUCCUGAAAUGUUAUGCCAAUUUACACUCCCACGAAGAGUUGCAUAAGAGUGCUCAUGUUCUCAGUCCUUCCUCUUGUUAAGUGCUACAUUUUUAAUUUAUUCUUUCUGAUAUUCUUUAUUCUUUCUGAUAGAAAAUGGUAUCUUAUUACUCUGAUUUAUAUAGUUUUAAAGUUCAAUGAGGUUGAACGUUUUUCAUAUAUUUAUUAUCUGUUUUGUGACUCUCAAUCAAAUGCUGUGUGUGUGUGUAUAUAUAUAUAUUAAAUUGUAGUGUUAAUUUUUUUCAUUCCUUGAUUCCUAAGGUCUAUUUGGCUUUUAACAUCUUAUAUCUACCUGUUACUAUGUUGCAAGUAUUUCUCCUAGCUUGCCACAUAGAUAUCCUUAUGUGGGGGACAUGAAGAUGUACUGCCUGCAACCCUUUCAAGGAAGAUUUGUGGCAGCUGUCUCUUGCCUCAGUUGCAGAGAGCUGCCUUGCCCAAGAGUAUGCUCUUCCUGUGACCCAUAUCCAUUGAUCAAUUGUUGUAGGGUAUAAAGGUCCAGCCAUUUCAGCCCACCAUGGUCCUGCUCUGGCAAGCCAUUGACACUCCCGAGCUCUCCACAGGGUAGCAUUGCUGAGCUGCAUUGUAGUUCGACCACUCCCCUAAAGAAACCCUGCUUCCUUCGUCUCCUUUCCAUAGGUGUCGAUCUCUAACAAACACGGUGCCCAUCAAAUUUCAACCUAGCAUCUUUUUCUAGAAUACUUAACCUGUGACAUCCUGGAAAUUAAUUCCUCAACUUGUAAUUGAUAUAAUAUCUAUAUACCUCUACACAUAAAUGUAUUACUCUUAAAAAUAAUUUAUUAUGUUUUUUCAUAGGGGAAACUGGUUCUUUUAUAGAAUGAUUAUUGGAAUAAAAACACAAAAAGUUGAGUGUUAUUUAAAAACACAAAGUCUUUCCCUAUCAGCUACUAUGCAAAUCCAUUAUCUAUAUUACAUUUCUUCAAAUAAAAUCACUUCCUUACCCUGCGAUAUCUCCCCUGUCACUUACUAUCCCCUUUAUCUUGUUUUUUUUUCUUCACAGCAUUUUAUUUGAGUAUCUUUUACAUCUGUAUCUGCCUCCCCAGCACCUAGAAUGGAACAUGGCAUAUAAUGUGUUCAAUAAAUAUUGAUUGAAUGGAUAGAUGAGUAGAUCAAUAAAGGAGUAAGUGACAUUUGGGUAAAGGUAGAUAAAGUAUAUCCAGACCAAUACCAUAUUUGUCCUCCUUCUUCCAGGAAAAUGAAGCACAGUAUUAAUUUGUCUCAUACAGAAGUUACCAAAAAUAUUUAUUGUAUGUGCACAAAUGUAUCCAGACCACUCUAGAAACCAUCUCUUCUUUGAUCUCUUCUUUCCCCCAGCCUUUCCUCUUUUUGCAGCCUGCAGGACUGCCUAGCUUCAAGGGAGCUGAGAGGAAGGUUGUGUUCAGGUGAUCAGGAAUGGUAACAGAUGGUUGGAUGCCCUCAUUUUGCAGAUGCCUCUAUAUUUGUGCUGCUUAAAAGCAUUUUAACUAGUAUAGAGCAAAACAUGUAUUAUCUUUUAGUUGCAGCCCUAGUUUCUAGAAUCCCGGAUUAGUGACUAGCCCCCUAAACCUCACAGCCACUAAUCCACUGGGAUGGCUCCUCUGCCUCUGUUGACGUUGGGUGCUUUCAGCCCCCAGUGAAUUCUGCCUCUUUAAUCUUGUUUGGUGCUGAUUUU